CAAUAGCGUAUAUUAAAGUUGUUGCAGUUAAAAAGCUCGUAGUUGGAUUUGUGGCUGUCACGGGCGGCCUAUCACUUAGUGUUAGUGCUUGCCUGUGUCGCCAUCCUUGGGUGGAGCCCGUGUGGCAUUAGGUUGUCGUGCGGGGGAUGCCCAUCGUUUACUGUGAGAAAAUUAGAGUGUUCAAAGCAGGCUUAUGCCAUUGAAUAUGUUAGCAUGGAAUAAUAAGAUAGGACCUCGGUACUAUUUUGUUGGUUUGCGCACCGAGGUAAUGAUUAAUAGGGACAGUUGGGGGUAUUCGUAUUUCAUUGUCAGAGGUGAAAUUCUUGGAUUUCUGAAAGACGAACUACUGCGAAAGCAUUUACCAAGGACGUUUUCAUUAA
RNAcentral lists this ribosomal RNA (380 nucleotides) under uncultured eukaryote. RNAcentral's name for it is "partial 18S ribosomal RNA". It matches the Rfam family "Eukaryotic small subunit ribosomal RNA", at positions 592 to 976 of the family's 1831-position model. The record is from RNAcentral.